Manis javanica (Malayan pangolin) is the source of this 106-nucleotide small nucleolar RNA. RefSeq annotates it as small nucleolar RNA SNORA71. The record is from RefSeq and is a predicted model, not a curated record. Lineage: Eukaryota; Metazoa; Chordata; Mammalia; Pholidota; Manidae.
CCCUGCAUCUGAAAGUGAUUGUGGCUGCAGGUGAGGAAUUGCAGAAAGCAGUUCCCCGUGUUCGAAGGGUCCACUCCUGUCCCUUCCAAACUGGUGCCUUCCCACA